UUGCCGGCGUGGCCGCGUGGGGGUGACCGCUGGCCGCUGGCGGGUGGCCGGCUAGACGCUCCAAUCCGGCCUCUGCUGUGGAGAACAUCAGGCAACAUCGGCGCCAUGUAGUGCCUCGUGAGAUUGUGAGAGGGAGGCGUGAUGCUUAAGGGGAAAAAGAUUGAUGCAUUUUUCAAAAGAAAGAGAGGUGAUUCAGUUGAUGAACCAACAGCAACCGAAGCAAUGCCUAUUCAGCCAACGGACUGUGUUCAACCUCCUCUGUUGUUGCUCGAAUUUGAGCAACACGGACCACAUCCUUCAAUGCCUCAACACCAAGGACAAAGCCAUCAAACUCAAACAAAUGAAGUACUAUUUCAAGGGAUUGAAUUCUUGCAGCGAGAUCCAGCACUACGUCCACAGAUUUGGCAAUAUCCACCUAAUCAAAGAGAUGAUGUGCGGCGAGCAUAUUUGAAGCUUGGUAUUAUGCAGCCCCGUUUGCAGAAUUACAAAGCCUAUGGUCCAGAAGGUCGCAAACGAUGCUUUAAGUAUGACUGGUUCAAGGAUUUCCCAUCAUGGUUGGAGUACUCGGAGGACAGUCAUCGUGCAUAUUGCUUCUAUUGUUUCUUGUUCGGCAAAAACAAAAACAAGAGAGAUGGUUCAGAUGUCUUUACAGUGCGAGGAUUUGUAAACUGGAAGAAGGUCCAUGAUGGAAAGAAAUGUGCUUUCUUAAACCACAUAGGUUCUGAACCUUGCUCUGAACAUAAUAAUGCAACCAAAGCAUGCCAUGACUUCUUGAAUCAGCAAGGCCAUUUAGAAAAUGUUGUAGCAGUGGGCAACUAGUGGGAUAUAGAAAGAAACCAACUGAGGGUGAAAGUAUCAAUUGCAGCAGUUAAGUGGCUUACAACACAAUCGUGUGCAUUUAGAGGCCAUGAUGAAACUCCAGACUCAAAGAACAGAGGGAACUUUAUUGAAUUGUUAAAGCUCCUUGCAGAAUUCAAUCCAGAGAUUGCCGAAGUUAUUUUGGAGAAUGCUCCAUACAGUUCAAAGUACACAUCACAUGAAAUCCAACAGGAGAUUUUGGGUAUUUAUGCAUUGAAAGUUAGGAAACAUAUCCGUGAAGAGAUUGGGGAUUCUAAGUUUUCUAUUCUAGUGGACGAGACAUGUGAUGUAGCAAAAAGAGAGCAGAUGGCAUUGGUCCUCAGAUUUGUUGAUGAAGAUCGUAUAUUGCAAGAGCGGUUCUUUGCCUUGAUACAUGUGACGAACACCAAAGCCGCAACACUUAAAGAGGUAUUGAGUUCUGUGGUAUCCAAACAUGCUUUUGAUGUUCAGAACCUUCGUGGGCAGGGAUACGAUGGGGCUAGUAAUAUGAGGGGGGAGCUCAAUGGCUUGCAAGCUCUUUUUCUUAGAGAAUGCCCGUAUGCAUAUUAUGUCCACUGCUAUGCUCAUCGCUUGCAACUUGCGCUAGUGUCUGCUUCGAAGGAAGUGGUCACUGGUGCUCAAUUCUUUCAGAAACUUCUUUUUAUUGUAAACACCGUUGACUCCUCUGCAAAGCGCCAUGAUGAGCUUCGUGAUGCCCAGUUGGAGGAACUAGCUCGGUUACUAGCUAUUGAUGACAUUGAAACUGGUAAAGGGGCAAACCAGAUCUGCACACUAAAACGACUUGGAGACACUAGAUGGGGGUCUCACUUAGGUUCUAUAUCCAGCCUAAAGAAUAUGUUUAAUGCAGUACAUUCAGUACUUCAAAAUAUAGCAUCUGAUGGGUCAGCUGGCUCAAUUCGUGCAGAUGGAGACACUGCUUUCAACUACUUAUCUUCUUUUGAGUUCAUAUUUGUCUUAUGUCUGAUGGAAGAAGCAUUGGAGAUAACUGAAGAUCUUGGUCAAGCUUUGCAAAAUAAAUCACAGGACAUAGUAAAUGCCAUGCGUCUAGUGUUCACAACAAAGGUUCGUCUUGAUGAAAUGAGAUCAGAUGAUGGUUGGGAGGCCUUCUUUGAUAGGGUUGUCGAGUUCUGUGUAAAUCAUUCCAUUGAUAUUCCAGAUUUGGGAGAAACUUACAUUCUGCGUGGUGGUCGAGCUCGUCGCCAACCAGAUCAUUUUACUAAGGAGCACUAUUUCCGGGUGGAAGUAUUUCGUGCAACACUUGAUACUCAACUACAUGAAUUAGAAUUCAGGUUCAAUGACAAGGUACUGGAUCUAUUGACCACUAGUGCUACCCUGAUCCCUAAAAAUAAAUUCAGAUCUUUCAAAGCUGAUGAUAUUUGUGAGUUAGUCAAGAAAUAUUAUCCAGCAGAUUUCACCCAACAAGAAAUCUAUGGAUUGGAGCAGCAACUAAAACACUUUGUUGUGGAUGCCUCCAAUGAUAAAGAUUUGAAAAAUGUGUCAACCUUAACAAAUCUUUGUCGAUAUCUCUUUGAGACGGGAAGACAUUCUAUCUACAAUUUGGUUGAUCGAUUGUUGCGAUUGCUUCUAACUCUUCCAGUUUCUACAGCAAGUGCCGAGCGAGCAUUCUCAACUUUGAAGAUCAUUAAGACAAGGCUACGUAAUACCAUGGAAGAUGAUUAUCUAGCCAAUAGCUUGCUAGUAAAAAUAGAGAGUGAAAUCACGAAGAAGUACAGUUAUGAAGAUGUUCUUGUGCACUUUAAGGGUGCAAAGAAACGGAAAGCUAAUCUGUAGUGCAGUGUUGCUGUAGUGAACCGAAUGCUCCAUGGUUAAAUGGUAUUUUGGUAUAGUUCCUUUUGUUAUGGAGUAGGUUAUAUAUAU
This 2736-nucleotide ribosomal RNA is filed under the name Triticum aestivum (bread wheat). Its description in RNAcentral is "partial small subunit ribosomal RNA". The record is from RNAcentral. Lineage: Eukaryota; Viridiplantae; Streptophyta; Magnoliopsida; Poales; Poaceae.